GCGAGGGUUCCAGAGUGGUCAAAUGGGCAGGACUUAAGAUCCUGUGGCUUAGUGCCUUCGUAGGUUCGACUCCUACCCCUCGCA
RNAcentral lists this transfer RNA (84 nucleotides) under Candidatus Pacearchaeota archaeon. Its description in RNAcentral is "tRNA-Leu". It matches the Rfam family "tRNA". Rfam says of the family: Transfer RNA (tRNA) molecules are approximately 80 nucleotides in length. Their secondary structure includes four short double-helical elements and three loops (D, anti-codon, and T loops). Lineage: Archaea; Nanobdellati. The record is from RNAcentral.